Small nucleolar RNA from Lotus japonicus, 79 nucleotides. RefSeq annotates it as small nucleolar RNA R12. The record is from RefSeq and is a predicted model, not a curated record. The transcript has a single exon. Lineage: Eukaryota; Viridiplantae; Streptophyta; Magnoliopsida; Fabales; Fabaceae.
UGUUGGGUGAUGAAAAAACAGACGGAUUAACAUUGAUAUUUUUUAUACAUGAUAUCACAACCAGCUACUUCUGACAACA